Molecule: ribosomal RNA, 478 nt
Filed under: uncultured bacterium
Lineage: Bacteria
Description: partial 16S ribosomal RNA
Rfam family: Bacterial small subunit ribosomal RNA
Source: RNAcentral
GACGAACGCUGGCGGCGUGCUUAACACAUGCAAGUCGAACGGUAAGGCCCUUCGGGGUACACGAGUGGCGAACGGGUGAGUAACACGUGGGUGAUCUGCCCUGCACUUCGGGAUAAGCCUGGGAAACUGGGUCUAAUACCGGAUAGGACCACUGCCUGCAUGGGUGGUGGUGGAAAGCUUUUGCGGUGUGGGAUGGGCCCGCGGCCUAUCAGCUUGUUGGGGGGGUGAUGGCCUACCAAGGCGACGACGGGUAGCCGGCCUGAGAGGGUGACCGGCCCCACUGGAACUGAGAUACGGCCCAGACUCCUACGGGAGGCAGCAGUGGGGAAUAUUGCACAAUGGGCGCAAGCCUGAUGCAGCGACGCCGCGUGAGGGAUGACGGCCUUCGGGUUGUAAACCUCUUUCAGCACCGACGAAGCGCAAGUGACGGUAGGUGCAGAAGAAGGACCGGCCAACUACGUGCCAGCCGCCGCCGUAA